This 23-nucleotide non-coding RNA is filed under the name Arabidopsis thaliana (thale cress). Lineage: Eukaryota; Viridiplantae; Streptophyta; Magnoliopsida; Brassicales; Brassicaceae. The record is from RNAcentral.
UAUAUGUUUAUGACAAUAUAAGU